CGGGGCGUAGCGCAGUUUGGUAGCGCACCUGCUUUGGGAGCAGGGGGCCGUGGGUUCGAAUCCCGCCGCCCCGACCA
RNAcentral lists this transfer RNA (77 nucleotides) under Eubacteriales Family XIII. Incertae Sedis bacterium. Its description in RNAcentral is "tRNA-Pro". It matches the Rfam family "tRNA". Rfam says of the family: Transfer RNA (tRNA) molecules are approximately 80 nucleotides in length. Lineage: Bacteria; Bacillati; Bacillota; Clostridia; Peptostreptococcales; Anaerovoracaceae. The record is from RNAcentral.